Molecule: ribosomal RNA, 475 nt
Filed under: uncultured bacterium
Lineage: Bacteria
Description: bacterial SSU rRNA
Rfam family: Bacterial small subunit ribosomal RNA
Source: RNAcentral
UCAGUCGACUCCUACGGGGAGGCAGCAGUGGGGAAUAUUGCACAAUGGGGGAAACCCUGAUGCAGCCAUGCCGCGUGUGUGAAGAAGGCCUUCGGGGUUGUAAAGCACUUUCAGUAGGGAGGAAGGUAGUGUAGUUAACACCUGCACUAUUUGACGUUACCUACAGAAGAAGCACCGGCUAACUCCGUGCCAGCAGCCGCGGUAAUACGGAGGGUGCGAGCGUUAAUCGGAAUUACUGGGCGUAAAGCGCAUGCAGGCGGCCUGUUAAGUCAGAUGUGAAAGCCCGGGGCUUAACCUCGGAAUUGCAUUUGAAACUGGCAGGCUAGAGUCUUGUAGAGGGGGGUAGGAAUUUCAGGUGUAGCGGUGAAAUGCGUAGAGAUCUGAAGGAAUACCAGUGGCGAAGGCGGCCCCUGGACAAAGACUGACGCUCAGAUGCGAAAGCGUGGGGAGCAAACAGGAUUAGAUACCCUGGUAG